GAUUUUUCACAUCUUUGCCGGUUUAUGCAAUCAUUGUGGCAAAUUUUUGCAGAAGCUGGACCUUUUAUUUGCUCCUCAUAAGUCAGCCUGCUUAUUUUGAAGAGGUCUUUGGAUUUGCAAUAAGUAAGGUGGGUCUCUUGUCAGCAGUCCCACACAUGGUUAUGACAAUCGUUGUACCUAUUGGAGGACAAUUGGCUGAUUAUUUAAGAAGCAGACAAAUUUUGACCACAACUGCUGUCAGAAAAAUCAUGAACUGUGGAGGUACUGUGGAUUUCAUAGAUGACUUAGGCAGCUUUUGUAGAAUUAUGGUAAACUGAACUGCGAGCAUAUAUUAAGAAGUGACAUUUAAUCAUUGGAGUGGAUCUUAAAGACCUCUAAGUCUGUCCCUCAGCAGAUACUUAAGUGUUGUCCAUCACAGUGCUGCCAAGAGGUCAUCCAGCUGGGACCCUUCCAUACAUCCUUCCACAUUU
This 470-nucleotide small RNA is filed under the name Pongo abelii (Sumatran orangutan). Its description in RNAcentral is "retained intron". Lineage: Eukaryota; Metazoa; Chordata; Mammalia; Primates; Hominidae. The record is from RNAcentral.